AUUCCAAUUGAUGUCUGAGCCUUUACAGAGAGAAACACGCUGUAGGUCCAAUUCAUUUUAAUAUCACCUUACAUUGCUUACACAACCAACAACUGACAAAACAACCUUUUUGAAAAACUAAGAAAGUGAUCAUACAGGUACGUUAAAGAAGCAGCUGGUCUUCAUGUGUCAGUGUACUCUCCGUCAAAACAUGCUGGGACAACAUGUCUGGGCUGAAACACAGAAAUCACAGUCUGUACAUGGAUGAUUCAUGUCCACGACCAAAUAAUAUAACAAAACACUGAAAAUCCACAGUUUCAGCUGAUCACAUUGUGUUGAAACAAUGAAACUUACCUGAUGGGCUCUUGUAAUACCUCAGUGUCUUCAAAUUCCAAUUCUUCAACAAUGUCCACCUCAACUCCAACCAGCAGUGUCUUGCUCACUGUGCAAAAUAAACAAACAAACAAAAAACAACAAGAUUUACCUGUAAGAUCUAUUGGCAUUAUAACACUGAGAUUUAAAUACUUCUAAUUCCUUAAUUAAAGGGCAUGAAUCAAUGUAUUUCUCAAAUUGAAACCAAAUGACAAACGGUUAUAUCUAAACAUGUACAAAAUGGCGGGCCCUGAUCGUUUAAUGCAUGGAGUUUUGGUCUAAAUCUAGCGAGCUAACUACUGAAAAGGUAUGCAAAAACCACACACACCACCAACAGCCCAGUUAUUAAAGUUUGAACAUGCUAAAUGGCAAUAUUGGUGCCAAUAUGGUUGCCCCCAUUAGUGCCAAUACUGUUGCCCUGUUUUCACAGGGUGUUUCAUCCCGGUCCACAGAACUACACAGUGCAUAUAGCCUGGAUGGCUACUAGGAACGGCAGGUAUGUUCACCUGUCUUUCACAUGACCUUAUUCCAUCAAGUAGUUUCUUGUAAAAACAUACCUCAAAAAAGGGCAAAUUGUUGCAAAGUGUUGUUUUAAUACACAAUUAAAUAAAUAUAAAUAUAAGAAAAAUAAGAAAAAAUAAAUAAAUAUUACAUCAUAGAGUCUUAAAUCCUUACCACCGAGACAAGGGAAAGGUGAGCAAGUCCAUUGUUCUGCAACACCUUCACAGCUUUCUGUUGGCGUAUAAAGACAUGCACAACCAUUCUCCUCACUUCUAUCUGAAUAGCGAUAAGGAUGAUGGUGUACGUCAUGGCUGCUAGUGUGCUCGCGGUAGGGGAAUAUAUGUCCAGUCCACACUUCAGGAGCAUCCUGAUCUUCGUCUAACACCCUGUGAAUGUGGAAGUCUGAUGGGUCUGUAAGGACAGACCCAAAUGCUUCUCCACCACCUUCACAAGGACAGCAUCGUUGUCUGUAUAGAUGUGUGGCUUCAUCACCAUCUGUUUGCACAGAAAUGGAAGGGAGGGAAGAAAACAGUGGGUGGUAGUAGUGGUGUGUGUGUGUGUGUGUGUGUGUGUGUGUGUGUGUGUGUGUGUGUGUGUGUGUGUGUGUUUGUUUUCAAAAGAUUCAAGGAUUAUUGUGACACACUAGCACCAAAAGUGACUCCUUAUAUACUGUAGUAUCUACAACUCAGAGCAUUUCACCCCUUGCUAAUAGAUAGAUCUGCAUUAAAUCAUCACGCAGGACUUUGAAUCAGCAACUCCCAUCGAAAGCCAGUGCCUGGCAUUGAUUAGUGGAUCAUUUCAUAGAAAAAAAACUGUCACUAUCAGCAUGUUUAUGGAUACAUGUUUAUGCAUGUGUUCAUGUCUAUGUGUAUGUGAUGUGCGUGUUUAUGUAUGUGUGUGGGGUGUGUGGUGUGUGGUAUGUGUGUGUGAGUGUGUAGGUGGGGCAUCUCUGCCAUGACAUCAUGUGGCUCCUGCUCCUGCUCCUGCUCCUACUCUGCAGUGAUCCAAGAGGCUUGCUGUGAGGGAAUAUGGCUCUGUGCUGCAAGGCAUCUGCUCACGUUGGCAAGCCUCAAGAUGAAUGCAGAGAAACAGAGAGACUCAACACCGCAGGUGCCUGUUAUUGAACAGCUAAAACAUUUAAAAGUGAAAAA
Molecule: long non-coding RNA, 2003 nt
Organism: Clupea harengus (Atlantic herring)
Lineage: Eukaryota; Metazoa; Chordata; Actinopteri; Clupeiformes; Clupeidae
Source: Ensembl